This 316-nucleotide ribosomal RNA is filed under the name uncultured Bacteroidales bacterium. RNAcentral's name for it is "partial 16S ribosomal RNA". The record is from RNAcentral. Lineage: Bacteria; Pseudomonadati; Bacteroidota; Bacteroidia; Bacteroidales.
GGAGUAUGGACCGUGUCUCAGUUCCAUUGUGGGGGACCUUCCCCUCAGAACCCCUACCCAUCGUCGCCUCGGUGGGCCGUUACCCCCCGACUAGCUAAUGGGACGCGAGCCAAUCCGUGACCACCGGAAUUUUUAAUGAAGAACCAUGCGAUCCUCCAUCGUAUGGGGGGUUAGGCGACGUUUCCAUCGGUUAUCCCCCGGUCACGGGCAUGUCGCUCACGCGUUACGCACCCUUGCGCCGGUCGCCGCCAAAUGUAUUACUACAUCCGCGCUGCCCCUCGACUUGCAUGUGUUAAGCCUGCCGCUAGCGUUCAUC